This 180-nucleotide ribosomal RNA is filed under the name Triticum aestivum (bread wheat). RNAcentral describes it as "rRNA SSU_rRNA_eukarya". It matches the Rfam family "Bacterial small subunit ribosomal RNA", at positions 1388 to 1520 of the family's 1533-position model. Lineage: Eukaryota; Viridiplantae; Streptophyta; Magnoliopsida; Poales; Poaceae. The record is from Rfam by way of RNAcentral. RNAcentral also lists the same sequence under 1 other name.
CACCGCCCGUCACACCCUGGGAAUUGGUUUCGCCCGAAGCAUCGGACCAAUGAUCACCCAUGACUUCUGUGUACCACUAGUGCCACAAAGGCCUUUGGUGGUCUUAUUGGCGCAUACCACGGUGGGGUCUUCGACUGGGGUGAAGUCGUAACAAGGUAGUCGUAGGGGAACCUGUGGCUG